GCAUUUCAUGGAAGGAGAGCUCGACUGCUUACAGUGCUGGAUCUGCUUAUUUCUCAACCCUAUUAGAAGAAAACAAACACAACCCGAGGUAUUUAAUUAGGUGAACAACUAAUCAACCGAAGGAUUAAUCAUCACGUUAUGGCAGGACUCUUCUGGCUCACUGGCGGUCCGUCUGACACGGCUCGUGUUCAGCAGAUGCGAGUGUGUGUGCAGGACAGGCUGGAUACCGCUAUAAACAUCUAAACUUACGCCAUCGUUUUCAAACACGUCCGGUUUCCCGGUCCACACUACAACAGUUUCCGCAUGCGUCCGCUUUGGGGAGAUCUCAUUAAUGCAAUGGCGAAGCGCUGAACAUGAAGAUCACAGACAGAAGCUCUGGAAGCACCUUUAUUAACAUCACCAGACAUCAUCGCAGACGAGAGCGAGCACACACACACGCCACUGUCAUCAGCGCGUGUCUGGAUAAUCAUCAUCCAAAACAUCAAUCACAAACAGCCAAUCAGAACGCAAGAACAAGAUAUCAGAGUGUGCGUCUCAUUGGUCGAUUAAAAACACAUGAUUGGAUCAAGAACACACGGCUGACACUCAUGAACUCACAAACAUGUUUAAGAUCAAAAGCUAUUAACA
Molecule: non-coding RNA, 627 nt
Organism: Pimephales promelas (fathead minnow)
Lineage: Eukaryota; Metazoa; Chordata; Actinopteri; Cypriniformes; Leuciscidae
Source: RefSeq, a predicted model, not a curated record